GACGAACGCUGGCGGCGUGCUUAACACAUGCAAGUCGAACGGAAAGGCCCUGCUUUUGUGGGGUGCUCGAGUGGCGAACGGGUGAGUAACACGUGAGUAACCUGCCCUUGACUUUGGGAUAACUUCAGGAAACUGGGGCUAAUACCGGAUAGGAGCUCCUGCUGCAUGGUGGGGGUUGGAAAGUUUCGGCGGUUGGGGAUGGACUCGCGGCUUAUCAGCUUGUUGGUGGGGUAGUGGCUUACCAAGGCUUUGACGGGUAGCCGGCCUGAGAGGGUGACCGGCCACAUUGGGACUGAGAGACGGCCCAGACUCCUACGGGAGGCAGCGGUGGGGAAUAUGACGCAAUGGGCGGAAGCCUGAUACAACAGCGCCGCGUGCGGGAUGACGGCCUUCGGGUUGUAAACCGCUUUCGCCUGUAACGAGGCGUGAGUGACGGUAAUGGGUAAGGAAGCACCGGCUAACUACGUG
RNAcentral lists this ribosomal RNA (468 nucleotides) under uncultured bacterium. Its description in RNAcentral is "partial 16S ribosomal RNA". It matches the Rfam family "Bacterial small subunit ribosomal RNA", at positions 28 to 507 of the family's 1533-position model. The record is from RNAcentral.